AGUGAACGCUGGCGGUAGGCCUAACACAUGCAAGUCGAACGGCAGCACAGUAAGAGCUUGCUCUUACGGGUGGCGAGUGGCGGACGGGUGAGGAAUACAUCGGAAUCUACUUUUUCGUGGGGGAUAACGUAGGGAAACUUACGCUAAUACCGCAUACGACCUACGGGUGAAAGCAGGGGAUCUUCGGACCUUGCGCGAUUGAAUGAGCCGAUGUCGGAUUAGCUAGUUGGCGGGGUAAAGGCCCACCAAGGCGAAGAUCCGUAGCUGGUCUGAGAGGAUGAUCAGCCACACUGGAACUGAGACACGGUCCAGACUCCUACGGGAGGCAGCAGUGGGGAAUAUUGGACAAUGGGCGCAAGCCUGAUCCAGCCAUACCGCGUGUGUGAAGAAGGCCUUCGGGUUGUAAAGCCCUUUUGUUGGGAAAGAAAAGCAGUAGGUUAAUACCCCGCUGUUCUGACGGUACCCAAAGAAUAAGCACCGGCUAACUUCGUG
RNAcentral lists this ribosomal RNA (492 nucleotides) under uncultured bacterium. Its description in RNAcentral is "partial 16S ribosomal RNA". It matches the Rfam family "Bacterial small subunit ribosomal RNA", at positions 29 to 507 of the family's 1533-position model. The record is from RNAcentral.